GCCAGACUCCUACGGGAGGCAGCAGUGAGGAAUAUUGGUCAAUGGGCGAGAGCCUGAACCAGCCAAGUCGCGUGAGGGAUGACUGCCCUAUGGGUUGUAAACCUCUUUUGUAUGGGGGGAAUAAGCUUUACGAGUAGAGUGAUGACAGUACCAUACGAAUAAGCAUCGGCUAACUCCGUGCCAGCAGCCGCGGUAAUACGUAGGGAGCAAGCGUUAUCCGGAUUUACUGGGUGUAAAGGGAGCGUAGACGGCAUGGCAAGUCAGAUGUGAAAGCCCGGGGCUCAACCCCGGGACUGCAUUUGAAACUGUCAGGCUGGAGUGCAGGAGAGGUAAGUGGAAUUCCUAGUGUAGCGGUGAAAUGCGUAGAUAUUAGGAGGAACACCAGUGGCGAAGGCGGCUUACUGGACUGUAACUGACGUUGAGGCUCGAAAGCGUGGGGAGCAAACAGGAUUAGAUACCCCCGUA
This 465-nucleotide ribosomal RNA is filed under the name uncultured bacterium. RNAcentral describes it as "bacterial SSU rRNA". It matches the Rfam family "Bacterial small subunit ribosomal RNA", at positions 330 to 792 of the family's 1533-position model. The record is from RNAcentral.